RNAcentral lists this long non-coding RNA (5205 nucleotides) under Arabidopsis lyrata. Its description in RNAcentral is "long non-coding RNA (ALYR_LNC000374)". The record is from RNAcentral. Lineage: Eukaryota; Viridiplantae; Streptophyta; Magnoliopsida; Brassicales; Brassicaceae.
CUCCACCAAACUUGAACAACCGUUGAGUACCAAAGUAUCAAGAUUGGUCGCCGUUGAAAGAUCUGGGAUUUCUCUGAGGUUUUCAGACUCCGAAAAAUCCAUAUGCUUUAGGCAUGUAAGCAGCUGACCAAAAUAGACAAUGAAAUAAACUUACACAUCAAAAGAAAGUGUCGUGCAAGAACCCAUUUUAGUAAUCUAGCAUUCUAAAUUCUUGUCAAUGUUUUGGGUAAAUGUAAGAAUCUUCUAAAUAGAUGAACCGACCACAAUUUUUGAUAAUAUAUCGACACUUACCUCAACUCCUUCCCAUAGCUUCUCAACCUUGCUGUUGGGCAUUCUUAGCUCAACAAGAUAUUCAGGACAAAAAUUAGACGGCAUGCAUCUCAUCGGAUAUCCUGGCCAACUUAGUAACUUAAGUUUAUCGGGAAAAUCAUUGAAUCUUUCGGGUAGAUCCCAUCUAAAACCUUUCUUCCUUUCCAAGGAACUUUUGUAGAAUUUCAGAAAUCGGAGAUUAGUCAUCCCGUCAAAGGCAUUCUUAUGUAUCCGCACCUUUUUAACCUCAUCUAUAUCCAAUGAUAUACCUAAAACCUUUUCAGUACCCUGAAAAAUACAAGAAUCAUUAUCUUAAAAACAGGGAAAUUUUUAGUCUCAUAGACGGAGUUAUGGAAAAAGAAAGAAAAAAAGCUUACCGUGCAACCUCUAAGUACAUCGCAAAUAUCCUUUGAGUUCAUAAGGAUUCUNNNNNNNNNNNNNNNNNNNNNNNNNNNNNNNNNNNNNNNNNNNNNNNNNNNNNNNNNNNNNNNNNNNNNNNNNNNNNNNNNNNNNNNNNNNNNNNNNNNNGAAGUAUCGCUUUAUCUUCUUCGCUAUCGAACUCAUCAUAACGGAAUCUUAAGGUUUCUACAAUGUCUCUGUUCGGACUUUUUCGAAGCCUUGGCAACAUGUCUAUCCAAUCCUCCUUGUUCCUCCCUUUCAUAACCUUACCUAGAAUCACAAGACCCAAAGGAAGACGACCUGAACACGCUGCAACUUCAGAAGCGAGCUCCAUGAAACCAUCAGGCGGAGAACUUUGCGUAAAAGCUGAUCGACAGAACAUCUCAAGAGCUUGCUUUUCAGAUGGGAAACAAACCUUGUAAAUAUGAUGAACCCCAUGGGCCUCUAAAAGACGCUUAUCUUUUGUAACCACAAUAAUUCUGCUCCCACUUCCAAACCAUUGAGUUUGCCCCGCCAAGGCUUCUAGCACCACUAGAUCAUCUAAAUCAUCGAUAAUGAUAAGAACUUUCCGGUGCUUUAGUCUUUCUCUCAAUGCACCUAAAUGUUCUAUCUUUAUGUUUUUGCCAAGAAUUUCAGAUAAGAAACUCCCUUGCAAACUCAACUUCAUGUUAUGGUCGCCGGUUUUGGCUCCCCUAUAACCUUCUAUACUCUUCGAUACGAAAGCUCUGUCUAUGAAGGCUUUACCUUGGAAGUGACGAGAGAGGAGAUUAAAUAAAGCUCUUGCAAUAGUAGUCUUGCCAAUUCCCGAGGGACCCCAUAUCCCAACCAUCCUUGCUUCCUCAGAUUCCAAGCACAACAAUAAAUUCAUCUCUGCGAUAUGAUUGUUGAUGCCGACAAAGUUAUCAAAAUCCUUCGAUGGAGUUUCAUUCAGUUUAUGAAAUAUAUCACUGACGAUGUCCUCGAUCAUUUUUGCUUCACUAUUACUAACAAACAUGAAACAAUAUAUAUAGUCAAAUUAAUGUCAAGUAGGAACGUUUAUAUUCACAAAUACGAAAAAAGUAACAAUUCAAAGACUAGUACCAAGUAUGAGAAUGAUAUCCAAGGAGAUUUGCUACAUCGGUUAAAGCUUGCCGCCAUAGUUGUCUCUCAUCCUCUGUUUUGUUCAGGCAAGUUUUCUUAAAGGCUUCUCCAAACUUUCCCAAUUGCUUCCUGACAUGAAAAGGAUCCAAGGCGUAGAAAAUAGGUAUCACAAUUUGUCCCAACUCUUCUUUGCAUUUCAAAAUCUCCACCAAUUCGUCUAGGCACCAUUUGGAAGUAGCGUAGUUUUCGGAGAACACUACCACUGCAAUUCUUGAGCCCCUAAUCGCCUGUAUAAGCUCUGGUGCGAUCGAGUGGCUUCUUUCGAUCUCACUGUCUUUGAACGGUUUGAUGGACUUGAGAUCCAGCUCCUUAAGAAAGUGACUGAGGAAUGUUUUGCGGACAUCUGCUCCUCUAAAGCUCGGGAAGACGUCAUAGUCCCAAUUGCGAGAAGAAGACAUAGAGAUAGAGAAACAAAAACAACACAAUUUCUUGUAAAUCAAGGAUCUGAAUGUCUCCUCGUCUUCUUCGAUGUGAGGAAAGCCUAAGCUAAUAGAAACAAAGAGGGUUCAAGAGAGGGUCUUUAGAAUUUUUUUUUUUUUUUUUUUUUCUGAAGGAAAAGAUUUUUCAGCAAACAGGAAAACAAUUUCACUCUAUGAGAAGCAAUAAAACAUAGACGAAGAGAAAGAGACAUAAAUUGAGAAAAAGACAGAUGGGUCAUUUGGGUUCCCACUUCUUUAUCGUUACCGUCAACUCCAAGUCAACUCCAAUCAAUGUUCACAUGCAGAGACCUUCUAGAAGAACUAGUGUAGUGCUUAGGCCCGGGCCUCUACCACAUGGCAACAUAUCCAUUUGCUAUAGGUCCAAAGCCACUUUCAAAAAUUUUAGUGAAGAAAAAGAGUUCAAUUUUUAGAAAUUUUUUUUAUAAUAAGAGAUUUUAAUUUUUUUUAGUUUUUACCAAGGGCCUUCCUAUAGAUUGAGACGGCACUAGAAAAAGUCUUGAGUUAGAAAAAGUCUAUGAAUGGCAAUAGAUUGAAAAAGUCUAUUAUAACAUUUGCCAAUAGAAAUCAAACGAAUUACUAGGCCUGAGCAUAAUACCCGAACCCGAAGAACCGAACCGAACCCGACCUGAAAAACCCAAUCCGAACCCGAACCCAAAGUUUUAAAAUACCCGAACGAAAUAAUGUAUAGUCAGUAGCCUUCCAAAACAUAUCGAAGAAUAAAUAGAUAUCGGAACAGACGGUCUAACACUUUGUAAUCAGAUUGUCUACAACCUCAAUUGUGUUUCAAACGCCAUUUUUUGUGUUUACAUAUGAAAAAUGUUUCAAUCUUAAUAAUUCGAACAUUUAUAUAAUAAAGUUAAACAUAGAUGUUUUACACCAGUAUUACUUCUUAAAAGUUUACGGAAAGAAUUCAAUAAACUCACUAAUUGAUUACUGGUUCUUUUGAAGAAAAGCACUAACAAGAAACACAAAAAUAAACAAAAUCUAAUGUUGUUUUAACUCUAUUUUAGUAUUCUUCCCUUCAUUUUUUCUCUCUCUUUGGUCUUGUUGUGGUAGUUUUUCUCUUUCGUUGAGUCUGACGUAGCGGAAGCUUCUAGGGAUAGAUUACGAAAGUAAUCUUGAGUAUCAAUGGAUCUCAAGCAAGACAAUCGUAGCUCGGAAUUCUAGUGUUAUCGGAGAUCAAUGGAUUCACGAUAAACAAAGACUUCAAAGACUUCGUUUGAGAAUACUCUUCUCAGUGCUUAUCAAAAGCUCUUUAAUUUUAUUAAUCAAAAACAACUGAAUACAAUAGGAGGCCUAAAAAGGCUAUUUAUAAUAAAACCCGAAAACCCUAAAACAUAGAAUAUUCUAGAACAAUAAUUAUUAAUUAAUUAAAAUAUGAUAAUAUUAGAUAUUCCAAAUAUCUCGCUGCAUCAGAGUCUCAUUUAGUUUCCUAGGUGUCUCUAGGAGUCCUAGCUAGUCUCUUGUGUUUUUUGGUGUGUUUAGAAAGCUUUCAGGUCACUCGGAGGCUAGGAGAUGCACUUGGAGAUUUUGGAACUUGCUUAGUCUUAUUAUUUGUUUUUAGUCAUUUUAAUCAUUUAUGCUUUCAUUGCUUAUAUUUAUGUUGUCCACUGGUUAGACUGGUAAAACCCUUUUGUUUUAGCUUAAAUAAAAGAUUUCGUAUAGUUAGUGUGCUAAUCCUAUUUUCUUGUGCAUUUGAUUUUAGUUACUAAAAGAAAAAUAAAACAGAAAGUAUCAACAAGUUAAUUAACUCACCAGUUUCAUUGAAUAUUCGAUAUAGUUCAGCCUUUGAGAGAAGAAGAGAGCCAAAUCCUGUAGAAGCAGCUAGCUGAAUAGCCCACCCAUGGUGCGGACCAAACACCUGAUUGUAAGCUUUAUAUGCUGCAUCCUUUACGGAGCUAUCAGCUCUACAAAUCAUAUUCAAACACAUUUAAAAUCUUUUGAUAUUGACCCAAAAAAAAAUAGUUACAACAAGUACUCAGCUAGCUAGCAUGGAAUUAUUGCAACACAUUUAUAUUGUGUUAAUAUAUAGGGGCAUAACCAAGUGAUGAUAGUUCAAUGGUUAUGGCUUAUUCGUCUAGAACAGUAAUCGUUUUCCCCUGGAUGCACAUUCUUUUUGACAACUACGGAUCGACUUAUCCCAUAGGAGCGCACCUGCAUAUCAUCUUAAACAUCUAGAAUAGUGAGAGGCGAGCCCAAUGCCAUGCUAGUGAGAGCACAUAAACCCCAAACAAGCCCAAAGUCCACUAACCCAUAAGGAUCAUUUUAAUUUUUAAGCGAAUGCGAAUUUACGCCUCCUGACAGUAUAUAAGAGAUAUAGGCCAUCCCCUAAUUGUUAAUUGAUUUUGAGUUGGAAGUCCAUAUUCUAAUAAUGUUGUCUUCCUACCAUCCAGCCACCAUUCCUAACUGAUAGGGCUCGAAACUAGGGCCCCCAAGCACAAAGGAACCACUAGACCACGAGCCUCUCAACACCAGUACAGAAUUCACAUGGUGAGUAUAGAUUUCAAAGAUUAGUUUAGAAUUUCAGUUAUUUAAAUGAAAUAUAUAAAAACUUGGAAUGACACAUAUGGAAGAUGGCAAGGCUCGAUUAAAGAUGUCGCAAAACUCACAAAUGAGAGUCUAGAGGAACACUUACUCAGUGGCUAAUAGCUCUUCAAAUAGAACCCUUAUCAUUUCUAGACCACGCUUUACCCUCAAAAGGUUUUCAGACUCCGAAAAAUCCAUAUGCUUUAGGCAUGUAAGCAGCUGACCAAAAUAGACAAUGAAAUAAACUUACACAUCAAAAGAAAGUGUCGUGCAAGAACCCAUGUUAGUAAUCUAGCAUUCUAAAUUCUUGUCAAUGUUUUGGGUAUAAUGUAAGAAUCUUCCAAAUAGAUGAACCGACCACAAUUUUUGAUAAUAUAUCGACACUUACCUC